Molecule: transfer RNA, 99 nt
Filed under: SAR324 cluster bacterium
Lineage: Bacteria; Deltaproteobacteria
Description: tRNA-Sec
Rfam family: Selenocysteine transfer RNA
Source: RNAcentral
GGAGAUGGAUGCGUCACUGGUGGGCGCCCCGGACUUCAAACCCGCGCGUGGGGUACUAACACUGUCCUAGAUAGGUUCGAUUCCUAUACAUCUCCGCCA